AAGGUUUUAAGUUAAAAAAACUAAUAGCCUUCAAAGCUAUAAAUAUUAGUAGAAUCUUUUAAGCCUUA
RNAcentral lists this transfer RNA (68 nucleotides) under Tephritis femoralis. RNAcentral's name for it is "tRNA-Trp". It matches the Rfam family "tRNA". From Rfam's summary of the family: Transfer RNA (tRNA) molecules are approximately 80 nucleotides in length. Their secondary structure includes four short double-helical elements and three loops (D, anti-codon, and T loops). Lineage: Eukaryota; Metazoa; Arthropoda; Insecta; Diptera; Tephritidae. The record is from RNAcentral.